Molecule: ribosomal RNA, 482 nt
Filed under: uncultured bacterium
Lineage: Bacteria
Description: bacterial SSU rRNA
Rfam family: Bacterial small subunit ribosomal RNA
Source: RNAcentral
UUGAACGCUGGCGGCAUGCUUUACACAUGCAAGUCGAACGGCAGCGGGGGCUUCGGCCUGCCGGCGAGUGGCGAACGGGUGAGUAAUGCAUCGGAACGUACCCAGUCGUGGGGGAUAACUACGCGAAAGCGUGGCUAAUACCGCAUACGCCCUGAGGGGGAAAGCGGGGGACCUUCGGGCCUCGCGCGAUUGGAGCGGCUGAUGUCGGAUUAGCUGGCUGGUGGGGUAAAGGCCUACCAAGGCGACGAUCCGUAGCUGGUCUGAGAGGAUGAUCAGCCACACUGGGACUGAGACACGGCCCAGACUCCUACGGGAGGCAGCAGUGGGGAAUUUUGGACAAUGGGCGCAAGCCUGAUCCAGCCAUGCCGCGUGAGUGAAGAAGGCCUUCGGGUUGUAAAGCUCUUUCAGCAGGGAAGAAACGGUUACGGCUAAUACCCGUGACUAAUGACGGUACCUGCAGAAGAAGCACCGGCUAACUACGU